RNAcentral lists this ribosomal RNA (502 nucleotides) under uncultured bacterium. RNAcentral describes it as "SSU rRNA". It matches the Rfam family "Bacterial small subunit ribosomal RNA", at positions 26 to 523 of the family's 1533-position model. The record is from RNAcentral.
AGAUUGAACGCUGGCGGCGUGCUUAACACAUGCAAGUCGAGCGGUAACGCGGGAGCAAUCCUGGCGACGAGCGGCGAACGGGUGAGUAAUGCUUGGGAAUCUGCCCAUUAGUGGGGAACAACCAGCCGAAAGGUUGGCUAAUACCGCAUACGCCCUACGGGGGAAAGCGGGGGAUCGAAAGACCUCGCGCUAAUGGAUGAGCCCAAGUCGGAUUAGCUUGUUGGUAGGGUAACGGCCUACCAAGGCGACAAUCCGUAGCUGGUCUGAGAGGACGACCAGCCACACUGGGACUGAGACACGGCCCAGACUCCUACGGGAGGCAGCAGUGGGGGAAUAUUGGACAAUGGGGGCAACCCUGAUCCAGCGACGCCGCGUGUGUGAAGAAGGCCUGCGGGUUGUAAAGCACUUUUAGUGGGGAUGAAAAGCUCAGGAUUAACACCUCUGGGUCUUGACCUAACCCACAGAAAAGCACCGGCUAACUCUGCGCCAGCAGCCGCGGUAA